Molecule: ribosomal RNA, 466 nt
Filed under: uncultured bacterium
Lineage: Bacteria
Description: partial 16S ribosomal RNA
Rfam family: Bacterial small subunit ribosomal RNA
Source: RNAcentral
AUGAACGCUGGCGGCGUGCUUAACACAUGCAAGUCGAACGGAAAGGCCAGUGCUUGCACUGGUGCUCGAGUGGCGAACGGGUGAGUAACACGUGGGUGAUCUGCCCUGCACUUUGGGAUAAGCCUGGGAAACUGGGUCUAAUACCAGAUAGGACCAUGCUUUGGAUGGUGUGGUGGAAAGUUUUUUCGGUGUGGGAUGAGCUUGCGGCCUAUCAGCUUGUUGGUGGGGUAAUGGCCUACCAAGGCGUCGACGGGUAGCCGGCCUGAGAGGGUGUACGGCCACAUUGGGACUGAGAUUCGGCCCAGACUCCUACGGGAGGCAGCAGCGGGGAAUAUUGCACAAUGGGCGCAAGCCUGAUGCAGCGACGCCGCGUGGGGGAUGACGGCCUUCGGGUUGUAAACUCCUUUCGCAACUGACGAAGCUUUUUGUGACGGUAGGUUGAGAAGAAGCACCGGCUAACUACGUG